GACGAACGCUGGCGGCGUGCUUAACACAUGCAAGUCGAACGGAAAGGCCCUGCUUUUGUGGGGUGCUCGAGUGGCGAACGGGUGAGUAACACGUGAGUAACCUGCCCUUGACUUUGGGAUAACUUCAGGAAACUGGGGCGAAUACCGGAUAGGAGCUCCUGCUGCAUGGUGGGGGUUGGAAAGUUUCGGCGGUGGGGGAUGGACUCGCGGCUUAUCAGCUUGUUGGUGGGGUAGUGGCUUACCAAGGCUUUGACGGGUAGCCGGCAUGAGAGGGUGACCGGCCACAUUGGGACUGAGAUACGGCCCAGAAUCCUACGGGAGGCAGCAGUGGGGAAUAUUGCACAAUGGGCGGAAGCCUGAUGCAGAAACGCCGCGUGCGGGAUGCCGGCCUUCGGGUUGUAAACCGCUUUCGACUGUGACGAAGCGUGAGUGACGGUAAUGGGUAAAGAAGCACCGGCUAACUACGUG
This 468-nucleotide ribosomal RNA is filed under the name uncultured bacterium. RNAcentral describes it as "partial 16S ribosomal RNA". It matches the Rfam family "Bacterial small subunit ribosomal RNA", at positions 28 to 507 of the family's 1533-position model. The record is from RNAcentral.